CCUACGGGAGGCAGCAGUGGGGAAUAUUGGACAAUGGGCGAAAGCCUGAUCCAGCCAUGCCGCGUGUGUGAAGAAGGCCUUCGGGUUGUAAAGCACUUUCAGUGGGGAAGAAAGCCUUGGGGCUAAUACCCUCGAGGAAGGACAUCACCCACAGAAGAAGCACCGGCUAACUCCGUGCCAGCAGCCGCGGUAAUACGGAGGGUGCGAGCGUUAAUCGGAAUUACUGGGCGUAAAGCGCGCGUAGGCGGUCUGAUAAGCCGGUUGUGAAAGCCCCGGGCUCAACCUGGGAACGGCAUCCGGAACUGUCAGGCUAGAGUGCAGGAGAGGAAGGUAGAAUUCCCGGUGUAGCGGUGAAAUGCGUAGAGAUCGGGAGGAAUACCAGUGGCGAAGGCGGCCUUCUGGACUGACACUGACGCUGAGGUACGAAAGCGUGGGUAGCAAACAGGAUUAGAUACCCUGGUAGUC
RNAcentral lists this ribosomal RNA (465 nucleotides) under Vreelandella stevensii. RNAcentral describes it as "partial 16S ribosomal RNA". It matches the Rfam family "Bacterial small subunit ribosomal RNA", at positions 338 to 795 of the family's 1533-position model. The record is from RNAcentral. Lineage: Bacteria; Pseudomonadati; Pseudomonadota; Gammaproteobacteria; Oceanospirillales; Halomonadaceae.